GUGGGGAAUAUUGCACAAUGGGCGCAAGCCUGAUGCAGCGACGCCGCGUGGGGGAUGACGGCCUUCGGGUUGUAAACCUCUUUCGACAGGGACGAAGCUUUUGUGACGGUACCUGUAUAAGAAGCACCGGCUAACUACGUGCCAGCAGCCGCGGUAAUACGUAGGGUGCGAGCGUUGUCCGGAAUUACUGGGCGUAAAGAGCUCGUAGGUGGUUUGUCGCGUCGUCUGUGAAAUUCCGGGGCUUAACUUCGGGCGUGCAGGCGAUACGGGCAUAACUUGAGUGCUGUAGGGGAGACUGGAAUUCCUGGUGUAGCGGUGGAAUGCGCAGAUAUCAGGAGGAACACCGAUGGCGAAGGCAGGUCUCUGGGCAGUAACUGACGCUGAGGAGCGAAAGCAUGGGGAGCGAACAGGAUUAGAAACCCCAGUAGUCC
Molecule: ribosomal RNA, 431 nt
Filed under: uncultured bacterium
Lineage: Bacteria
Description: partial 16S ribosomal RNA
Rfam family: Bacterial small subunit ribosomal RNA
Source: RNAcentral